AGCUUUGCCCAGUGGCAGUAUCGUAGCCAGUGAGGUUUAUCCGAGGUGUGAUUAUUGCUAAUUGAAAAUAGAAAUUGCUUC
Molecule: small nuclear RNA, 81 nt
Organism: Ochotona princeps (American pika)
Lineage: Eukaryota; Metazoa; Chordata; Mammalia; Lagomorpha; Ochotonidae
Gene: U4
Rfam family: U4 spliceosomal RNA
About the family: U4 small nuclear RNA (U4 snRNA) is a component of the major U2-dependent spliceosome.
Source: Ensembl